This 417-nucleotide ribosomal RNA is filed under the name uncultured bacterium. Its description in RNAcentral is "partial 16S ribosomal RNA". It matches the Rfam family "Bacterial small subunit ribosomal RNA", at positions 355 to 762 of the family's 1533-position model. The record is from RNAcentral.
UGGGGAAUUUUGGACGAAUUGGGCGAAAGCCGAUCCAGCAAUGCCGCGUGUGUGAAGAAGGCCUUCGGGUUGUAAAGCACUUUUGUCCGGAAAGAAAUCCUUGGCUCUAAUACAGUCGGGGGAUGACGGUACCGGAAGAAUAAGCACCGGCUAACUACGUGCCAGCAGCCGCGGUAAUACGUAGGGUGCAAGCGUUAAUCGGAAUUACUGGGCGUAAAGCGUGCGCAGGCGGUUUGCUAAGACCGAUGUGAAAUCCCCGGGCUCAACCUGGGAACUGCAUUGGUGACUGGCAGGCUAGAGUAUGGCAGAGGGGGGUAGAAUUCCACGUGUAGCAGUGAAAUGCGUAGAGAUGUGGAGGAAUACCGAUGGCGAAGGCAGCCCCCUGGGCCAAGUACUGACGCUCAUGCACGAAAGCGU